Long non-coding RNA from Amphiprion ocellaris (clown anemonefish), 5502 nucleotides. RefSeq lists it as uncharacterized. The record is from RefSeq and is a predicted model, not a curated record. The transcript is spliced from 3 exons. Lineage: Eukaryota; Metazoa; Chordata; Actinopteri; Pomacentridae.
CACUGUUGCACCGGGGUCACUUUAGGGGGAGGGAAACGACGGCACCCCAGAUAUAACCUGGAGGACAGAGAGUGCGGAGUGUCUUCAUUGCUGCUCAUUAUCUCCUGUAUUUUACAGAAAUGAAGUUUUCACUUCAGUCCAAACCUGGAUUUUGUCCACGUUCCUGGCGCAGCCCACCACCUUCAUCCCGCAGCGGACCAGCUCUUUGGCUACGGCCGCCCCGAUCCCCACCGAGGCUCCGGUCACCAGAGCCACUCUGCCCCUCCAGCGAUCCAUCACAGCGAUACACCGGUAAGCUGCUGCAGACACACAGGAAGAAGAGAGGACGGAGAGUCUGACAGCCACGGAGCCUGAAUGCAGCACACUGGACACGGUGCGUCUCCACCACACUUAAAUGCACCACUGUGCUGCGUUCAGGAUCCAGGUGCACUGCAGGAAAUCAGAGAACGCAGCUCUGUUUCAAGAAGAUUGUGAAAUACAACCCAACUACCAAACUGUCUCUGUUUUACCCAGUUUUGCCUCACAAGAAAUGUCAAUUCUAGUCCAAGGUGGUCUGAAAAAAGAGAAUGUCCUCCUCUGGGACAACUGGCUUGCAGCGAAUCAAUGCACAGUGAUGCUCAUGUUGAAGGCAGAGAGUCUGACUGUCAGCAAACUGGAUGUUCUGUUUUUUCCAGAUGCACCCGCAUUUAUUAGAAUAGGAGCUUGAAGUUAAUCUUUUACAGAGGUUCCAUAAAUAUACACCCUGACUUUAUGCAGAGUCCACCUUGUGACUUUGGUAUAGAACCGACUUUAUUGCCAAUGAAACAUAAAACUUGAGAAGUUAUUUUAAUCCCAUCAGUUUCCAAAAGCAGACAGCCAUGACGUCUUACCGUGGACUGGAUGCAACCUCUUCCUCUGGCCCUCCGUCAAGGUAGUCACCAUGUUCCUUGGAACAGUGCGAUGUCCGCUCAUACUGUAACAGGAGAUGUACAAGCUGCUACCAAUAUCUGUAUUUACCAACAUAGACUGAAGUGAUCUCAGGGCAAAGAACUAGAAAAAAUGCCCUAUGAUUAAAGUGACUACUGUUCAUUUAAAGCCAGAUUUACUGUAAAAGGUUGAAAGUUGUAACAGUUACUGUAGAUUGACUGCUAAAUCGAGAGCUUCACCUUCCAGGCUCAGCUCCCUCUUCAUCACAACAUUCUGGUGCAACGCCCUCUUAGCUGCUAAUGCUGCACCAAGCUGCCUGUCUCCAUCUUCUGGUGAACAAGAGCCCAAAUACUUGAACUCCUUUGCUUGUGACAGCAACUCCCUCCAAACCCAGAGGGAUCAAUCCACCGGUUUCCAGCAGAGAACGAUGAUCUCAGACUUGGAGGGGCUGACUCGCAUCCCAGCUGCUUUACACUUGGCUGCAAACAGUUCCAGAAUGUGCUGAAGGUCACGGUCUGAAGCCAACACUACCACUCUGCAGCAAAGAUGCAAUCCUGAGGUCACACCCACACCCACAAGAAACAUGUUUGACUUUGUGGUGAGAAUGCGCAAACAGCUUUGGUUGUACAAGGACAGGACGGCUGGAAACUAUGACCCCAAUAGCCCCCCAUACUUCCACAGUGUCCCCACAGGGCCCUUGAAGAGACAUGUCAUAAUGAUUUGGUCUCAUUUGUCACUAUGGAAGCACCAACCCUGAUGUCCACGUGACAGUAAAGAGACGUGUCAUCUAAGACAGUCCAACAAUGUCUCCAGACUUCCACAUCUUUGUACAAAUCUCCACCACACCUAGUGCCUUACCACCAAACAGCUUCUCGAUUACCUCGGCACCCUCUACCACGAAUGUGUGUGAAGCUACCCUCAAAUCUUCUGGAUCUGCUUCCUAAGCAGAGAAACUGUUAAUCAGGUUGAGGAGUUCCUCAGUCCUCUUUCCUUCCCUUCCUGAGGCAUCAGUUUACCGGAACCUCCUUGAGGCCCACUGAAUCUCCUUCUCCAUACCUCUCUGAAGUCCUUUCACAUGCUGGCCCCUGGUACCUGUCUGGUUUAGGGACACUGGGGGCCCCCUCCAGGAGCCAUGUGGGAGGGGUGCUUGCCAUUUUGGGCAUCUCCUGAAACAGCAGACAAAGUGGGGCUGUUCCUUGUGCACGUUCUCACCAAGGUUCUAUAAAGAGCCCUAUGAAGAAUCGGCACUUCAUCGUGGUGGAGGGUUCUGUAUGUCUCUGUAAUCCCAGGUGAUCUUGUAAGUAGUCUCUCUCCUGAGGCAAACUGGUCCCAGAGGAGGGGCCAGGCUAAAAGCAAUUCAUAGAACCUCCAUCUAUGUUUGAUGCUGGAAUUUUUUUUUGUCAGAUUUGUUACUGACUUUUUACUGGCAUAUUAAAUAACAUAAAUGUGAAAGAUUUUUAAAGGCAUAUUUUGAGUUCAAUAUUUGUGUAUUUUAAUAGUUUGUGUUGCAUGCAUUGUUUCCACUAUAGGCUGUUGAAUAGUGUGAUCUGCAACCAGAAAUCAAAUUUCCUUUUGUAUAAUAAUAAAGCUGGAGUGCAGCAAGUUUCAUGUUCCAGUCAGUCGUUUUAUUAUGUUGAUAUGAGUAAAAUUACAGCACAAGCUUCAUAACCAAAGUUAUUUCAUGAUUACAUGAAGUUAUUACUUUCAGAAAUGCGGUGAACAAAUAACAUGAAGCAUUUGUCAAAACAGUAAUCCAACUUUUAUAUAGUGAAACUCUACAACGCCUGCUCCACAGGACGCAUCUGAAUGUCUCCAAUCUAAAAGAAAACUUAUGUUAUCUAAUUAUGAAUAAACUGCUGAUAUUUCUACAAUUGAACAACAGAUGUCAAACAUGAUAAAAUAGAAAGUCAUGUACCUGCACAUAUGGAGGGGCACUCAGAACGUACGUAACAGCAUUUGCAAGAUCUACUGCUUCCAGAGGCUGUCAGAGAGGUAGAAAGUGCUUAAAUACUUUUUAAAAUUCCAGUAAUUGUUGUAACAGUAUUCAAGAAACGUAGAAGUAAUGUGUUUACUGUAAAUUGAGCGUAUGAAGCAGCGGCUCUGUCUGGAUCGUGGCUGUAGAGUCGCGGAGCAAAUUCUGUCGCUACAACGCCAGGAGAAAUGCACUGCAGAGAGAGUGGGUAAUAUUUCAGGAUGUAUGUGUUUCAGGAUUCAUAAUUGUGCUGAUGGUACUCGUGGAGCUGGUGAUGGACUGUGAGUGAAUUUAGCAUUGGCUUAGUUAAAAAAAGAAUAAGUGAUAGUUUGGGGCUUUUUAAGCCUUUACUAUAGUUGAAAGUGGAGAGACAGGAAACAUGGGGAGAAGAAUGAGGGAAAGACAUGCAGCAAAAGGCCGAGGGUGGGAAACUAUAGCCCCUGUUUAUGGGUCGCCCGCUCAACCAGCUGAGUUACCCAAACACCCAGCUUAGUUCAUGUUUAAAUUGCAGACAGCCAUGAGGUCUUACUGUGGCUCGGAUGUGGCUCUUGGCUUCACGCAGCUCCUGCCUCAGGCCCUCAGUCAGGGCGGUCACUGCAAACUUGGUGGCAGUGUAGAAAUGAAUAUCAGCAGUGGGAAUUACACGAUGUCCACUCAUGCUGCAGCAGAAGAUGCACAAGCAACCAGGUCAGCAUUCACCAGCAUGUACUGAAAUAAUCUCAGGGUACAGAACAGGAAUUCUUUCUAAAGAUAUAUCUUUUACUCAUUUAAAGUCAUGUUUACUGCAUACGGUUCAAGGCUGUAACAACACAUCCUGUCAUAUAUAUUUUCAGUUAUUUGGCAGUACCUGUUUAUGUGGAUGAUGUGGCCGUCAUCAACAUUUCUUUCCUUCAUCAACUGAUACGCUUCACGUGUGCAGAUGGACAACCCAAUAACAUUCACCUGGAAGACACCGAGCAGAAAGAAAACCAAUUAAGAAAAUAUCUUUCAUUAACACCUCAAACGUCACACGAAGUCACCGCUUCUUUUGCACAAGGAAACACUUUUUCAGUCUCUUUAGGAAACUGGGAAUGAAACACCCUGAUGGUGUCACAGAUAUUUCCAUAUUUAUUCAAGAGUUCACAGAUCAAUUUGUUGCUUGUUCUUGUUUUAAAACAAUGUCAUGUUUAAACACAUUUGACUUGAUCGUGUGCUUUUCACUUUUUCCAGUAGGAAAAGUACAGGUUUUAGCAUAAUUAUUCAUAUUAACUCUUGGUCAAAUGUCUCAGUAGGUCUUAAACUCUGAUUUCUAAAUUAACAACACUGAGUUCUUACAUCCAGCAUGUUCCUCCAGCCGCUGGUUUUGCCGCCUAACAGCGGCUCUGGAUGAGCCAAUCCAGCGUUGUUGAUGCAAACAUCCACACCUUUGUGCUGCUCUUUGAUGGUUGCAAACAUGGACAGAAUCUCCUCCUCUUUGGUUAAGUCACAUUUGAUCGGCACUAAAACACCGCUGUAGCCUGCUUUCUUACACUCCUCUGCCAGUUCCUGAGAUCAGAAUGAAAAACAUAGCUUCACAUUCAACUUUGUAGUUUUAGUAAUCUGCCACUUCAAUGUUUGAUUUUUAUUAGUUGAUUCUUCUUAAAUACAUAGUAUGGUAUUUGGUUAGUUAAAGUGAAUCCCUUUACAUAAAAAAACAACACGAGGACAACAAAAUCUGCCACUGUUUAACCAACAUAUUAUUGCCUUAUUAUUCUACGUAUAAAUUUAUGAACGACAGUGAAGGCUACUCAGAAUUAUAUGUACACAAUGAUUUCACAGUGUGGUUGAAAAAAAAGUUUCAGUAUUUGCCAUUCUUCAGACUGUGUGUGGAACUGAAGAAUUUGUGGCUGGGUCAGUUCUCAUAAACUUUGAACAAGAGUGAGUGAGUUUGGAUUCAGUGUGAACACAGCUGGUUACUGAUGAACUAAAAAAACAUAGCUUACAGAAGUCUGACAGCAGUAAAUGAUUUGCACAACUUGAAACAUCAAAAUGUGUUGUUUGUGUUAUGGUUUUAUUUGCCUCUAAUAUCUCAUGCUAAGUUUGAGAGACACAUUCAAAUAGUUUUGCAAAUAUAUUAAAAUAUCUAGAUAGCAACUGUUGAUAAAUGCAAUGUGUAAGUGAGUUUCUGCACCGUCCUGGACUCUGCACAGGAUUUCAACAUAUUCAAAUAGAGCUGCAUUUAUCAGCUGUUUCCUGUUACAGUAACUUCCGCUUGUUUCUCUGAAAGUUUUUCUCUCGGCUGCAGCUUCUCGGUUAGUAUUCCUCUCCAAAUAUAGACUCUGAAAUCCGCAGAAAUGAAGUUUUCACUUCAGUCCAAACCUGGAUUUUGUCCACGUUCCUGGCGCAGCCCACCACCUUCAUCCCGCAGCGGACCAGCUCUUUGGCUACGGCCGCCCCGAUCCCCACUGAGGCUCCGGUCACCAGAGCCACUCUGCCCCUCCAGCGAUCCAUCACAGCGAUACACCGAAAUGAAGUUUUCACUUCAGUCCAAACCUGGAUUUUGUCCACGUUCCUGGCGCAGCCCACCACCUUCAUCCCGCAGCGGACCAGCUCUUUGGCUACGGCCGCCCCGAUCCCCACCGAGGCUCCGGUCACCAGAGCCACUC